This 440-nucleotide ribosomal RNA is filed under the name uncultured bacterium. RNAcentral describes it as "partial 16S ribosomal RNA". It matches the Rfam family "Bacterial small subunit ribosomal RNA", at positions 338 to 795 of the family's 1533-position model. The record is from RNAcentral.
CCUACGGGAGGCUGCAGUAGGGAAUAUUGCUCAAUGGGGGAAACCCUGAAGCAGCAACGCCGCGUGGAGGAUGAAGGUUUUCGGAUUGUAAACUCCUUUUGUUAGAGAAGAUAAUGACGGUAUCUAACGAAUAAGCACCGGCUAACUCCGUGCCAGCAGCCGCGGUAAUACGGAGGGUGCAAGCGUUACUCGGAAUCACUGGGCGUAAAGAGCGCGUAGGCGGGAUAGCAAGUCAGAUGUGAAAUCCUAUGGCUUAACCAUAGAACUGCAUUUGAAACUGUUAUUCUAGAGAAUGGGAGAGGUAGGUGGAAUUCUUGGUGUAGGAGUAAAAUCCGUAGAGAGCAAGAGGAAUACUCAUUGCGAAGGCGACCUGCUAGAACAUAACUGACGCUGAUGCGCGAAAGCGUGGGGAGCAAACAGGAUUAGAUACCCUAGUAGUC